Molecule: ribosomal RNA, 472 nt
Filed under: uncultured bacterium
Lineage: Bacteria
Description: bacterial SSU rRNA
Rfam family: Bacterial small subunit ribosomal RNA
Source: RNAcentral
AUUGAACGCUGGCGGCAUGCUUUACACAUGCAAGUCGAACGGUAACAGGCCUUCGGGCGCUGACGAGUGGCGAACGGGUGAGUAAUGCAUCGGAACGUGCCCAGAGGUGGGGGAUAACGCAGCGAAAGCUGUGCUAAUACCGCAUAUUAUCUGAGGAUGAAAGCGGGGGACUAAGCAGCAAUGUUUGGCCUCGCGCCUUUGGAGCGGCCGAUGUCAGAUUAGGUAGUUGGUGGGGUAAAGGCCUACCAAGCCGACGAUCUGUAGCUGGUCUGAGAGGACGACCAGCCACACUGGGACUGAGACACGGCCCAGACUCCUACGGGAGGCAGCAGUGGGGAAUUUUGGACAAUGGGCGCAAGCCUGAUCCAGCAAUGCCGCGUGCAGGAAGAAGGCCUUCGGUUGUAAACUAGCUUUGUACGGUAACGAAAAGGUACUCUCUUAAUACGGGGGGACGUCGAUGACGGUACCGUAA